UACGUAGGGUCCGAGCGUUGUCCGGAAUUACUGGGCGUAAAGAGCUCGUAGGUGGUUUGUCGCGUUGUUCGUGAAAACUCACAGCUCAACUGUGGGCGUGCGGGCGAUACGGGCAGACUAGAGUACUGCAGGGGAGACUGGAAUUCCUGGUGUAGCGGUGGAAUGCGUAGAUAUCGAUCGGAACACCCAUGGCGAAGGCAGCUCGCUGGCCUGCAACUGACGCUGAGGCGCGAAAGCCGGGGGAGCGAACAGG
This 253-nucleotide ribosomal RNA is filed under the name uncultured bacterium. RNAcentral describes it as "partial 16S ribosomal RNA". It matches the Rfam family "Bacterial small subunit ribosomal RNA", at positions 524 to 776 of the family's 1533-position model. The record is from RNAcentral.